Xenia sp. Carnegie-2017 is the source of this 1934-nucleotide long non-coding RNA. RefSeq lists it as uncharacterized. The record is from RefSeq and is a predicted model, not a curated record. The transcript is spliced from 2 exons. NCBI's taxonomy places the organism in Eukaryota, Metazoa, Cnidaria, Anthozoa, Malacalcyonacea, Xeniidae.
AAACAUUGCAUUACAUUGUUGACUUACACACAAACUAUUUGAAGUUGAGAUUGCGUUAGAUAUCGUUGGAAGAAUGGUGAAAGUGGAUUAAUUGUUAUAGAAAUAUUUGUGUCAAAACAAGAUACAUAGUUUUUGUUACAGCAGUUUUUGCCAUUGGUGAUGCUUAAUGACUGAAUUACAAUAGUACACGUUCACAAGUAUUUGUAAUUGUAGUGAACCCUACUGAACCCACGUCGCCAGUUGAAUGACAAAAUUAGGUGUGCAAAAGACAUUUAGGUGUUGAAAGGUUUGCGUCGACUUGUUGUAUGAUUUAAUGAUUCUAGAAAGUUGCUGCGAGUUGCUGUUGUUUAAUGUAGGUUUCCUUGACAGACCAGGAAUUAAAAUAUAAAUACUAAAAAUUGGUUACUGAUUUCGCAACUUAAAAUUAUUUGAGUGAGUUUGAAGACAAUCGCCAAUAUUAAAUGCAUUUAAAAAAUACAGUGCAUGACGAAAGAAAAACGAUCAUUCCCGACCAUGUCUCAUCUUGCUUUGCUCUUUUUAAUAAAAUUUUCACUUUUACAAUAAAGAGGUUAUUUAGCAGUGAAAUUCCCACAGGAGCUAAUUAAUGAAAUAUGUGAUUCUUAUUUUGCAAUUAAUCUUUUGGGAUUUACUAAACAAUAAAAUUUACCCACGUCGGCUGGAGUCCAUAAAAGCACCUAUAGAAUAUUCUUUUGUAUCAGACCCCCAGUAUGUCUGACGUGAAUAACAUUAAUUCCUACCAACUUUGUUUAUCAGCCUUGUAUUUGCUUGUUUUAGGUCCAUUUGAUAUUGAAAACAUGUCAUUCGAUAAUUAAAGCCUGAUUUUUGAAACCGAUAGAAUACCGUUAUAUAGACAUAGUAGUUCACACACAAUAGCGUGUUGAAGUUCGAUUAUCUAUUUGUAAUAACUUUAUACUUCAUUUACAAAUUUGCAUUUUCAAUAAUUGCUGGCAUGGUACUACAUACCUUGAAGUGAAUACAUGCAGGCUAUAGAAAAUGCUUUGAGUGGAUAACUUUUAUGCCUGAAUUUCAAAAAGAAAAGAUAUAUUUGUAUGAUUUAUGCAGAAAUAAUGAAAGAACGAUUUUGGUAAAGCAGGGGAAAAAAUUCAAUGGUAGAGUUGCAAUGAUCUAGAUUAUCACAUCUAACAUGUAUUGAUGGCGUUAGUAUGUGGGUCUUGAAUUGUAUCAUUUAUUCGUGAUCCAGUAGUUGAAUUUGUCAUGAGUUUCUAUGGUAGUUAAUCCGUGUAAAUGGCUUUACUGACAUUUUUUAGGUAGUUGAAAAUUGUAAUAUGCAGUUGCUUGGCGUAUUGCGUACAAAAAUGACAAAGCUAAAGAGCUUGGAACGCACAGGGUUAAAAAGCAAAAGGAUGUUAUUGUUUUGGAAAUGUGAUAGAAUUGUCGUCAAUGAAGAGUGUAAUGAGCGGUAGAGAUUGAGUUUUUUCGUUUUAUGUGUUUUCCGACAUCUUUUGGUUUCACCUGGAUAUAACUCCAUUGCCAGUCUAUACAUGGUAUUUUUGUAAAAGUCUUUGAGUGCGCCGUCAGAGCUGCAGAAAAUAGCACAGAAAAGAUUUAUACGUCGAAGCCAAUUGUGCCAAAGUGAAACCAGGAGAGAUUCAGAAAGUAAAUGGAAAGUUAGACGUUUUCUUUGGUAGUACGUGGUAACAGCAUUUCCCUGAGAUGUUUAAUGAGUAAAAUGUCGCAGUUUUGCAUAAAAAAGACAAAAUCGCUGGAUGCUUAAUCGGUAAAGCACAUGUCUGCAAACAAAUCAGACGUUAACGACUAACAAUGUUUAUUGACUUAAUUUAAAAUAAUUAAUUUGUGAUCAUGAAAACGUUGCCGGCAUUCAGUACAUUUGAUUCUUUUCCAUGUAUAUAAAUAUAUAUAUUGUAUAAAAAAUACAUAUUCACAUCACAUUA